This 556-nucleotide ribosomal RNA is filed under the name Staphylococcus aureus. Its description in RNAcentral is "partial 23S ribosomal RNA". It matches the Rfam family "Bacterial large subunit ribosomal RNA", at positions 929 to 1488 of the family's 2925-position model. The record is from RNAcentral. Lineage: Bacteria; Bacillati; Bacillota; Bacilli; Caryophanales; Staphylococcaceae.
UCUCGGGUUACCGAAUUCAGACAAACUCCGAAUGCCAAUUAAUUUAACUUGGGAGUCAGAACAUGGGUGAUAAGGUCCGUGUUCGAAAGGGAAACAGCCCAGACCACCAGCUAAGGUCCCAAAAUAUAUGUUAAGUGGAAAAGGAUGUGGCGUUGCCCAGACAACUAGGAUGUUGGCUUAGAAGCAGCCAUCAUUUAAAGAGUGCGUAAUAGCUCACUAGUCGAGUGACACUGCGCCGAAAAUGUACCGGGGCUAAACAUAUUACCGAAGCUGUGGAUUGUCCUUUGGACAAUGGUAGGAGAGCGUUCUAAGGGCGUUGAAGCAUGAUCGUAAGGACAUGUGGAGCGCUUAGAAGUGAGAAUGCCGGUGUGAGUAGCGAAAGACGGGUGAGAAUCCCGUCCACCGAUUGACUAAGGUUUCCAGAGGAAGGCUCGUCCGCUCUGGGUUAGUCGGGUCCUAAGCUGAGGCCGACAGGCGUAGGCGAUGGAUAACAGGUUGAUAUUCCUGUACCACCUAUAAUCGUUUUAAUCGAUGGGGGGACGCAGUAGGAUAGGCG